GUGAGGAAUAUUGGUCAAUGGGCGAGAGCCUGAACCAGCCAAGUCGCGUGAAGGAAGAAGGAUCUAUGGUUCGUAAACUUCUUUUGCAGGGGAAUAAAGUGCGGGACGUGUCCUGUUUUGUAUGUACCCUGAGAAUAAGGAUCGGCUAACUCCGUGCCAGCAGCCGCGGUAAUACGGAGGAUCCGAGCGUUAUCCGGAUUUAUUGGGUUUAAAGGGUGCGUAGGUGGUUUGAUAAGUCAGCGGUGAAAGUUUGCAGCUUAACUGUAAAAAUGCCGUUGAAACUGUCGGACUUGAGUGUAAAUGAGGUAGGCGGAAUGCGUGGUGUAGCGGUGAAAUGCAUAGAUAUCACGCAGAACUCCGAUUGCGAAGGCAGCUUACUAAGCUACAACUGACACUGAAGCACGAAAGCGUGGGAAUCAAACAGGAUUAGAAACCCGUGUAGUCC
RNAcentral lists this ribosomal RNA (445 nucleotides) under uncultured bacterium. RNAcentral's name for it is "partial 16S ribosomal RNA". It matches the Rfam family "Bacterial small subunit ribosomal RNA", at positions 354 to 796 of the family's 1533-position model. The record is from RNAcentral.